UUAAUUUUAUUGGAAAGCAAUUCAAAAAGUCAAUUAAUUAAUACAAAUUGAAAUUCCGACCAGAUUUUUCAGCCCCCAAUUUAUUUGUUUAUUACGAUUUCACAAUAACGAACCGGACUUAAUUUGAUCCAAAAUGGAACUGAACCCGUCAUGUCGUGCGGUUUUUAUUUUUAUUUUUUUAAAAUCAUUAAGUCAAGGGAUGAGAAAAGGAAAAACCCCAGCCCCAAAUUAGCAAAGCAAGCCGCCCACUUUUGCAAACUCAUAACUCAAGUUGGCGCCACCCUCACAUAGAUGCAGCACCACCACCACUAGCUGAAUCAGAGCAGAGACGAAGCGGCAGCAGCAGCAGCCGUCGAUUCUCAAUUACAGCAGCAACAGAGCAGAGACGCAAUAGUAAUAGCACACGAAGUCGAGAUGCAACAACAACUUUCUCUCUCAACGCAAUAGCCGAUUUUGCUUGAAGAACUGUGACAGUCAAUUGUGGAUGAAAUACAAGAGUAUUCACGAAGAGAGAGAGAGAGAGAAAGAGAGAGAGCUCUGUGAAUUUGGAUUGAAUUAUCUUUUUUGUUUUCGUUUUACUGGUAUUACAACUUCAGCCGGUUACCCAUUUUUUAACUGUUAAAUCUCAG
RNAcentral lists this long non-coding RNA (629 nucleotides) under Citrus sinensis (sweet orange). RNAcentral's name for it is "long non-coding RNA (CSIN_LNC003488)". Lineage: Eukaryota; Viridiplantae; Streptophyta; Magnoliopsida; Sapindales; Rutaceae. The record is from RNAcentral.